RNAcentral lists this long non-coding RNA (408 nucleotides) under Rosa chinensis. RNAcentral's name for it is "sRNA RchiOBHm_Chr3g0466601". Lineage: Eukaryota; Viridiplantae; Streptophyta; Magnoliopsida; Rosales; Rosaceae. The record is from RNAcentral.
GUCGGGGAUUGAGCGUAAUGGCGGACCGGAGCGAACACAAAGCCCAACCCACUCUAGGACUCGCGUAUCACAAGAAAGGGGAGCUGCUUGCCACGUGCCUCCCAGAAAGUUGAUUGAUGAUCUUGAUCAGGGACUCAUCUAUCGCAUUCCGAGUGGGAUUGAGAGACAACAAGUGUAGGUCCAGGGUAUGUACCAUGCACCCUAAACUGACCUAGUACCUCUUGUACUAGUGUCUUAUAGAACGUCAUGACCCCAGAGGCCCAUUUCUAGCGUCAGAGCCCAGGCCCAUCCAUAGGCCCGUAUCUUCACCUCCUUCCCGCCACCUUUAUUGCCCCCCGCUGGGUCACAAGCACGGCGUUACCCGUGCUCGGCAUAACGUUCAGCAUGCGUCGCCCUAUAUAAACCGUA